AUUGAACGCUGGCGGCAGGCCUAACACAUGCAAGUCGAGCGGAUGAAGGGAGCUUGCUCCUGGAUUCAGCUGCGGACGGGUGAGUAAUUCCUAGGAAUCUGCCUGGUAGUUGGGGAUAACGUCCGGAAACGGGCGCUAAUACCGCAUACGUCCUGAUGGAGAACGUGGGGGAUCUUCGGACCUCACGCUAUCAGAUGAGCCUAGGUCGGAUUAGCUAGUUGGUGGGGUAAAGGCCUACCAAGGCGACGAUCCGUAACUGGUCUGAGAGGAUGAUCAGUCACACUGGAACUGGGACACGGUCCAGACUCCUACGGGAGGCAGCAGUGGGGAAUAUUGGACAAUGGGCGAAAGCCUGAUCCAGCCAUGCCGCGUGUGUGAAGAAGGUCUUCGGAUUGUAAAGCACUUUAAGUGGGGAGGAAGAGCAGUAAGUUAAUACCUUGCUGUUUUGACGUUACCAAAAGAAUAAGCACCGGCUAACUUCGUG
Molecule: ribosomal RNA, 484 nt
Filed under: uncultured bacterium
Lineage: Bacteria
Description: partial 16S ribosomal RNA
Rfam family: Bacterial small subunit ribosomal RNA
Source: RNAcentral